Molecule: ribosomal RNA, 674 nt
Filed under: uncultured bacterium
Lineage: Bacteria
Description: bacterial SSU rRNA
Rfam family: Bacterial small subunit ribosomal RNA
Source: RNAcentral
AGCGGCGGACGGGUGAGUAACGCGUGGGAAUAUGCCCUUCUCUAAGGAAUAGCCUCGGGAAACUGAGAGUAAUACCUUAUACGCCCUUCGGGGGAAAGAUUUAUCGGAGAAGGAUUAGCCCGCGUUAGAUUAGGUAGUUGGUGGGGUAAUGGCCUACCAAGCCUACGAUCUAUAGCUGGUUUGAGAGGAUGAUCAGCCACACUGGGACUGAGACACGGCCCAGACUCCUACGGGAGGCAGCAGUAGGGAAUCUUAGACAAUGGGGGAAACCCUGAUCUAGCCAUGCCGCGUGUGUGAUGAAGGCCUUAGGGUCGUAAAGCACUUUCGCCAGAGAUGAUAAUGACAGUAUCUGGUAAAGAAACCCCGGCUAACUCCGUGCCAGCAGCCGCGGUAAUACGGAGGGGGUUAGCGUUGUUCGGAAUUACUGGGCGUAAAGCGUACGUAGGCGGAUUAGUAAGUUAGAGGUGAAAUCCCAGGGCUCAACCCUGGAACUGCCUUUAAUACUGCUAGUCUUGAGUUCGAGAGAGGUAAGUGGAAUUCCGAGUGUAGAGGUGAAAUUCGUAGAUAUUCGGAGGAACACCAGUGGCGAAGGCGGCUUACUGGCUCGAUACUGACGCUGAGGUACGAAAGUGUGGGGAGCAAACAGGAUUAGAUACCCUGGUAGUCCACACCGA